This 468-nucleotide ribosomal RNA is filed under the name uncultured bacterium. RNAcentral's name for it is "partial 16S ribosomal RNA". It matches the Rfam family "Bacterial small subunit ribosomal RNA", at positions 28 to 507 of the family's 1533-position model. The record is from RNAcentral.
GACGAACGCUGGCGGCGUGCUUAACACAUGCAAGUCGAACGGAAAGGCCCUGCUUUUGUGGGGUGAUCGAGUGGCGAACGGGUGAGUAACACGUGAGUAACCUGCCCUUGUCUUUGGGAUAACUUCAGGAAACUGGGGCUAAUACCGGAUAGGAGACCCUGCUGCAUGGUGGGGGUUGGAAAGUUUCGGCGGUUGGGGAUGGAUUCGCGGCUUAUCAGUUUGUUGGUGGGGUAGUGGCUUACCAAGGCUUUGACGGGUAGCCGGCCUGAGUGGGUGACCGGGCACAUUGGUACUGAGAGACGGCCCAGACUCCUACGGGGGACAGCAGUGGGGAAUAUUGCACAAUGGGCGGAAGCCUGAUACAGCAACGCCGCGUGCGUGAUGACGGCCUUCGGGUUGUAAACCGCUUUCGCCUGUGACGAAGCGUGAGUGACGGUAAUGGGUAAAGAAGCACCGGCUAACUACGUG